This is a non-coding RNA of Triticum aestivum (bread wheat), 113 nucleotides long. The record is from Rfam. NCBI's taxonomy places the organism in Eukaryota, Viridiplantae, Streptophyta, Magnoliopsida, Poales, Poaceae.
AUUCUACUCCCUCCGUUCGGAAUUACUUGUCUCGGAAAUGGAUGUAUCUAGAACUAAAAUACGUCUAUACAUCCAUGUCUGCGACAAGUAAUUCCGAACGGAGGGAGUAGUAG